CCCUCGGAGGUGUCAGUUGUUGCAUUCCUCGGUCUCAUUAACCAAAUGUGUCUUUGUCUUCCUGAUUAUAGAGCAAAUUGCUGAACAAUGAUGGAAAAUUCCACUUAACGCAACACAAACAGUAGAAUUAGAUUGCAUUAAUGCGUGCGCCUAUUAUUGUCACUUGUUUUUCAACACGCAAGGAAGCAUGACGCAAAUGCUUUAAAGUAGUGAGUGG
This is a non-coding RNA of Paramuricea clavata, 217 nucleotides long. The record is from the annotation of a GenBank genome assembly. Lineage: Eukaryota; Metazoa; Cnidaria; Anthozoa; Malacalcyonacea; Plexauridae.